This 395-nucleotide ribosomal RNA is filed under the name uncultured bacterium. Its description in RNAcentral is "bacterial SSU rRNA". It matches the Rfam family "Bacterial small subunit ribosomal RNA", at positions 505 to 898 of the family's 1533-position model. The record is from RNAcentral.
GUGUCAGCCGCCGCGGUAAUACGUAGGUGGCAAGCGUUGUCCGGAUUUACUGGGCGUAAAGGAUGCGUAGGUGGAUAUGCAAGUCAGAUGUGAAAUACCCGAGCUUAACUUGGGUGCUGCAUUUGAAACUACAUAUCUAGAGUGCAGGAGAGGUAAGUGGAAUUCCUAGUGUAGCGGUGAAAUGCGUAGAGAUUAGGAAGAACACCAGUGGCGAAGGCGACUUACUGGACUGUAACUGACACUGAGGCAUGAAAGCGUGGGGAGCAAACAGGAUUAGAUACCCUGGUAGUCCACGCCGUAAACGAUGGGUACUAGGUGUAGGAGGUAUCGACUCCUUCUGUGCCGCAGUUAACACAAUAAGUACCCCGCCUGGGGAGUACGGUCGCAAGAUUAAA